GAAGAAUCCAGAGAUGGAUUUGUGCCUUCGGGAACUGUGAGACAGGUGCUGCAUGGCUGUCGUCAGCUCGUGUUGUGAAAUGUUGGGUUAAGUCCCGCAACGAGCGCAACCCUUAUCCUUUGUUGCCAGCGAUUAGGUCGGGAACUCAAAGGAGACUGCCAGUGAUAAACUGGAGGAAGGUGGGGAUGACGUCAAGUCAUCAUGGCCCUUACGACCAGGGCUACACACGUGCUACAAUGGCGCAUACAAAGAGAAGCGACCUCGCGAGAGCAAGCGGACCUCAUAAAGUGCGUCGUAGUCCGGAUUGGAGUCUGCAACUCGACUCCAUGAAGUCGGAAUCGCUAGUAAUCGUGGAUCAGAAUGCCACGGUGAAUACGUUCCCGGGCCUUGUACACACCGCCCGUCACACCAUGGGAGUGGGUUGCAAAAGAAGUAGGUAGCUUAACCUUCGGGAGGGCGCUUACCACUUUGUGAUUCAUGACUGGGGUGAAGUCGUAACAAGGUAACCGUAGGGGAACCUGCGGUUGGAUCACCUCCUUACCUUAAAGAAGC
This 552-nucleotide ribosomal RNA is filed under the name Salmonella enterica. RNAcentral describes it as "partial 16S ribosomal RNA". It matches the Rfam family "Bacterial small subunit ribosomal RNA", at positions 993 to 1533 of the family's 1533-position model. RNAcentral also lists the same sequence under 1 other name. Lineage: Bacteria; Pseudomonadati; Pseudomonadota; Gammaproteobacteria; Enterobacterales; Enterobacteriaceae. The record is from RNAcentral.